CCCGCCACAUUAUUUAUGUAUGUGCCUGUCCCAAGUCAGGAGCCUGUAUAUUCAGUGGUUGUCGUUUGUUUAUGUGUUACAUAUUUGUUUUUCGUUCAUUUUUUUACAUAAAUAAGGCCGUUGGUUUUCUCGUUUGAAUUGUUUUACAUUGUCUUAUCGGGGCCUUUUAUAGCUGACUAUGUGGUAUGGGCUUUGCUCAUUGUUGAAGGCCGUACGGUGACCUAUAGUUGUUAAUGUCUGUGUCAUUUUGGUCUUUUGUGGAUAGUUGUCUCAUUGGCAAUCAUACCACAUCUUCUUUUUUAUAUUUC
RNAcentral lists this long non-coding RNA (308 nucleotides) under Mytilus galloprovincialis (Mediterranean mussel). The record is from RNAcentral. Lineage: Eukaryota; Metazoa; Mollusca; Bivalvia; Mytilida; Mytilidae.